Salvelinus sp. IW2-2015 is the source of this 427-nucleotide long non-coding RNA. RefSeq lists it as uncharacterized. The record is from RefSeq and is a predicted model, not a curated record. NCBI's taxonomy places the organism in Eukaryota, Metazoa, Chordata, Actinopteri, Salmoniformes, Salmonidae.
ACAAGCCCCUUCAGUACAAACAUAACAAAGGUCAAAGUGCACAUUUACGGUAGCUUCAGACAGAUUCUGUGAUAUAUCUGUUUACAAGUCAGAGGGUGUACAUUCAGGUUGAUUGACUAUGGCGUCASAGGAGACAGGUGUGCCUUUGGGCUCAGCUGAGAACCUGGAGGACAGGAGAGCACAGGAGCAUKGAGCUACAGAGGGGCCAAAGACAGAGGUCCCAGCCAGUCCCAGCCAAGAUGGACCUCAGGUGACGGCAGGCCAGGAGGAGGGAGCAGGUGUCUGUCAGUUUCCUGUUGGGAAAGUGUCGUUUUGGAAACAAGGUGUCGUCGAUCUCACAGCACUCCAACAUUAGACGACCCAGAGGCUGUUUAUAGACCAGGAAAACAGGAAGGAGGAGAGAAAAAGAGGGAAAACUCAAGAAGAA